UACAGAGGUGGCAAGCGUUGUUCGGAAUUACUGGGCGUAAAGGGCGCGUAGGCGGCCAUCUAAGUCAGACGUGAAAUCCCCCGGCUUAACCGGGGAACUGCAUCUGAUACUGGAUGGCUUGAGUUCGGGAGAGGGAUGCGGAAUUCCAGGUGUAGCGGUGAAAUGCGUAGAUAUCUGGAGGAACACCGGUGGCGAAGGCGGCAUCCUGGACCGACACUGACGCUGAGGAGCGAAAGCCAGGGGAGCAAACAGG
This 253-nucleotide ribosomal RNA is filed under the name uncultured bacterium. RNAcentral describes it as "partial 16S ribosomal RNA". It matches the Rfam family "Bacterial small subunit ribosomal RNA", at positions 524 to 776 of the family's 1533-position model. The record is from RNAcentral.